Molecule: ribosomal RNA, 437 nt
Filed under: uncultured candidatus Brocadiaceae bacterium
Lineage: Bacteria; Pseudomonadati; Planctomycetota; Candidatus Brocadiia; Candidatus Brocadiales; Candidatus Brocadiaceae
Description: bacterial SSU rRNA
Rfam family: Bacterial small subunit ribosomal RNA
Source: RNAcentral
GUGACGAAGCGACGCCGCGUGUGGGAAGAAGGCCUUCGGGUUGUAAACCACUGUCGGGAGUUAGGAAAUGUAAGGGUGUUAAUAGUAUCCUUACUUGACUAAGGCUCCGGAGGAAGCCACGGCUAACUCUGUGCCAGCAGCCGCGGUAAUACAGAGGCGGCAAGCGUUGUUCGGAAUUAUUGGGCGUAAAGAGCACGUAGGCGGCCUUGUAAGUCAGUUGUGAAAGCCUCCUGCUUAACGGAAGAACAGCAGCUGAUACUGCAAGGCUAGAGUGCGGAAGGGGAGAGUGGAACUUCUGGUGGAGCGGUGAAAUGCGUAGAUAUCAGAAGGAACACCGGCGGCGAAGGCGACUCUCUGGUCCGUAACUGACGCUGAGUGUGCGAAAGCUAGGGGAGCAAACGGGAUUAGAUACCCCGGUAGUCCUAGCCGUAAACGAU